UGAUAAUGUCUAAAAGCUUGACUUACCAGGUGAAUAUGGUGUUAGUGCAAGCUUUAACGUUUCUA
RNAcentral lists this small RNA (65 nucleotides) under Salix viminalis (osier). Lineage: Eukaryota; Viridiplantae; Streptophyta; Magnoliopsida; Malpighiales; Salicaceae. The record is from RNAcentral.